RNAcentral lists this transfer RNA (82 nucleotides) under Candidatus Falkowiibacteriota bacterium. RNAcentral's name for it is "Candidatus Falkowbacteria bacterium tRNA-Leu". It matches the Rfam family "tRNA". From Rfam's summary of the family: Transfer RNA (tRNA) molecules are approximately 80 nucleotides in length. The record is from RNAcentral. Lineage: Bacteria; Candidatus Falkowiibacteriota.
GCGGAUGUGGUGGAACUGGUAUACACGCAUGCCUUAGGAGCAUGUGCCGUAAGGCAUGAGGGUUCGAGUCCCUCCAUCCGCA